AUUGAACGCUGGCGGCAUGCCUUACACAUGCAAGUCGAACGGCAGCAUGAUCUAGCUUGCUAGAUUGAUGGCGAGUGGCGAACGGGUGAGUAAUACAUCGGAACGUGCCCUGUAGUGGGGGAUAACUAGUCGAAAGAUUAGCUAAUACCGCAUACGACCUGAGGGUGAAAGUGGGGGACCGCAAGGCCUCAUGCUAUAGGAGCGGCCGAUGUCUGAUUAGCUAGUUGGUGAGGUAAAGGCUCACCAAGGCGACGAUCAGUAGCUGGUCUGAGAGGACGAUCAGCCACACUGGGACUGAGACACGGCCCAGACUCCUACGGGAGGCAGCAGUGGGGAAUUUUGGACAAUGGGCGAAAGCCUGAUCCAGCAAUGCCGCGCGUGUGAAGAAGGCCUUCGGGUUGUAAAGCACUUUUGUCCGGAAAGAAAUGGCUCUGGUUAAUACCUGGGGUCGAUGACGGUACCGGAAGAAUAAGGACCGGCUAACUACGUG
This 490-nucleotide ribosomal RNA is filed under the name uncultured bacterium. Its description in RNAcentral is "partial 16S ribosomal RNA". It matches the Rfam family "Bacterial small subunit ribosomal RNA", at positions 30 to 507 of the family's 1533-position model. The record is from RNAcentral.